AGGAGGCGUAAAGACUUGGAUCAAUGAACAAUUUGAGAUCCAAGAUAGAUGGGUCCAAGGGCACCUAGAUAUUUUUUAGUCUAGGAUCACUCGAUAGUUGAAUGGUGAGAAGACGGCCAAUAUUGCUGAUAUCAAAUCUGAGGUUGUAGAGAUUAAGAAAAUGAUUACAGAUCUUUAUGAUAGACCGGUAGUUGCUGAGUCUGUAGUCAAGACAGUGAAUCCUACUUUCUAUGUGCCUAAUAUUUGGGUGGUCCCGAUAGAUGCACUAGUUGAGGAGACUGAAGAGCAACUAAGAGAGAAGAAGAGAAAGAAGAAAGAAUACAAAGAACCAAGGAAGAGAGCCAGAUCUGAGAGCAUCCAGGAUGAGCG
RNAcentral lists this long non-coding RNA (369 nucleotides) under Capsicum annuum. RNAcentral describes it as "long non-coding RNA (CANN_LNC022571)". The record is from RNAcentral. Lineage: Eukaryota; Viridiplantae; Streptophyta; Magnoliopsida; Solanales; Solanaceae.